CGAGGGUAAACUCGGAUUAGAUACCCUCUUAUAGAAUUUAUAAAAUAAUACUAAAAUAGUAUAUAAUAAUUUAUUGAAACUUAAUUAAGUUGGCGGUAUUUUAGUUCAUUUAGAGGAAUCUGUUUAAUAAUUGAUAAUCCACGAAUAAAUUUACUUAAUUUAAAAUUUUAUAUAUCGUUGUUAAAAAAAUAUUUUUAAAAAAAAAUAAUAUUUAAAAAUUUUUAUAAAAAUUAAUUCAGAUCAAGAUGUAGAUUAUAAUUAAGAAUCUAAUGGAUUACAAUAAAUUUAUUUAAAUAGAAAUAAAUUUUGAAAUAAUUAAUUAAAAGUGGAUUUAAAUGUAAUUUUAUUUAAUUUAUAUAAUGAUUCUGCUCGUG
RNAcentral lists this ribosomal RNA (374 nucleotides) under Neope dejeani. RNAcentral's name for it is "partial 12S ribosomal RNA". The record is from RNAcentral. Lineage: Eukaryota; Metazoa; Arthropoda; Insecta; Lepidoptera; Nymphalidae.